Molecule: ribosomal RNA, 314 nt
Filed under: Pholoe sp. HH13
Lineage: Eukaryota; Metazoa; Annelida; Polychaeta; Phyllodocida; Pholoidae
Description: partial 16S ribosomal RNA
Rfam family: Bacterial large subunit ribosomal RNA (bases 50-314)
Source: RNAcentral
UGGACACACUAAACUUAACCUUUAUUUGCCUUAGUAAUAUAAAUUAGCUUUUAGGUGAAGAUACCUAAAUUUAGUAGAAAGACAAGAAGACCCUAUUGAGUUUUACCUUAAAAUAAAAUAAAAGGUUUUGUUGGGGCGACCAGGGAAUUCAUCCGACUUCCCUUAAAUAAAAGGAAACCAUGAAAUUGAUCCUUAAAGAAUUCAGAAUAAACUACCAUAGGGAUAACAGGCUAAUUUUUUCAGCGAGUUCAUAUUAAUGAAAAAGUUUGGCACCUCGAUGUUGGCUUGAAGAAUCUUUUAGGUGCAGCCGCCUA